RNAcentral lists this ribosomal RNA (163 nucleotides) under uncultured bacterium. RNAcentral describes it as "partial 16S rRNA". It matches the Rfam family "Bacterial small subunit ribosomal RNA", at positions 355 to 511 of the family's 1533-position model. The record is from RNAcentral.
UAGGGAAUCUUCCACAAUGGGCGAAAGCCUGAUGGAGCAACGCCGCGUGUGUGAUGAAGGGUUUCGGCUCGUAAACACUGUUGUAAGAGAAGAAUGACAUUGAGAGUAACUGUUCAAUGUGUGACGGUAUCUUACCAGAAAGGAACGGCUAAAUACGUGCAAG